This 777-nucleotide ribosomal RNA is filed under the name uncultured bacterium. Its description in RNAcentral is "bacterial SSU rRNA". It matches the Rfam family "Bacterial small subunit ribosomal RNA", at positions 67 to 843 of the family's 1533-position model. The record is from RNAcentral.
CAGCACGGGGUAGCAAUACUCUGGUGGCGACCGGCGCACGGGUGAGUAACGCGUAUGCAACCUGCCCUGUACAGGGGGAUAGCCCGGAGAAAUUCGGAUUAAUACCCCAUAAAGAUAUCUGGAGGCAUCUUUUGAUAUUUAAAGUUUCGGCGGUACGGGAUGGGCAUGCGUAACAUUAGCUAGUUGGUAGGGUAACGGCCUACCAAGGCGACGAUGUUUAGGGGUCCUGAGAGGGUGAUCCCCCACACUGGUACUGAGACACGGACCAGACUCCUACGGGAGGCAGCAGUGAGGAAUAUUGGUCAAUGGGCGCAAGCCUGAACCAGCCAUCCCGCGUGCAGGAAGAAGGCGCUAUGCGUCGUAAACUGCUUUUCCAGAGGAAGAAAACCCCUGACGUGUCGGGGCUUGCCGGUACUCUGGGAAUAAGCAUCGGCUAACUCCGUGCCAGCAGCCGCGGUAAUACGGAGGAUGCGAGCGUUAUCCGGAUUUAUUGGGUUUAAAGGGUGCGUAGGCGGAUUAAUAAGUCAGUGGUGAAAACCUUCAGCUUAACUGGAGACUUGCCAUUGAUACUGUUAGUCUUGAGUACGGUCAAGGUAGGCGGAAUGUGUAAUGUAGCGGUGAAAUGCUUAGAUAUUACACAGAACACCGAUUACGAAGGCAGCUUACUGGGCCAUUACUGACGCUGAGGCACGAAAGCGUGGGGAGCGAACAGGAUUAGAUACCCUGGUAGUCCACGCCGUAAACGAUGAUCACUCGCUGUUGGCGAUACAUAGUCAG